AAAUUGAAGAGUUUGAUCAUGGCUCAGAUUGAAUGCUGGCGGCAGGCCUAACACAUGCAAGUCGAACGGUAACAGGAAACAGCUUGCUGUUUCGCUGACGAGUGGCGGACGGGUGAGUAAUGUCUGGGAAACUGCCUGAUGGAGGGGGAUAACUACUGGAAACGGUAGCUAAUACCGCAUAACGUCGCAAGACCAAAGAGGGGGACCUUCGGGCCUCUUGCCAUCGGAUGUGCCCAGAUGGGAUUAGCUUGUUGGUGGGGUAACGGCUCACCAAGGCGACGAUC
RNAcentral lists this ribosomal RNA (284 nucleotides) under Escherichia coli. Its description in RNAcentral is "partial 16S ribosomal RNA". It matches the Rfam family "Bacterial small subunit ribosomal RNA", at positions 1 to 281 of the family's 1533-position model. The record is from RNAcentral. Lineage: Bacteria; Pseudomonadati; Pseudomonadota; Gammaproteobacteria; Enterobacterales; Enterobacteriaceae.